This 412-nucleotide ribosomal RNA is filed under the name uncultured bacterium. RNAcentral's name for it is "bacterial SSU rRNA". It matches the Rfam family "Bacterial small subunit ribosomal RNA", at positions 355 to 786 of the family's 1533-position model. The record is from RNAcentral.
UGGGGAAUAUUGCACAAUGGGGGAAACCCUGAUGCAGCGACGCCGCGUGAGCGAAGAAGUAUUUCGGUAUGUAAAGCUCUAUCAGCAGGGAAGAUAAUGACGGUACCUGACUAAGAAGCUCCGGCUAAAUACGUGCCAGUAGCCGCGGUAAUACGUAUGGAGCAAGCGUUAUCCGGAUUUACUGGGUGUAAAGGGAGCGUAGGCGGCAUGGCAAGUCUGAUGUGAAAUCCCCGGGGGCUCAACCCGAGCUCAUUGGAAACUGUCGGCUGGAGUGUCGGAGAGGUAAGUGGAAUUCCUAGUGUAGCGGUGAAAUGCGUAGAUAUUAGGAGGAACACCAGUGGCGAAGGCGGCUUACUGGACGACAACUGACGCUGAGGCUCGAAAGCGUGGGGAGCAAACAGGAUUAGAUACC